GUCGUGAUGGUGUCGGGUCGUUGUAGCUUCCUCAGCCCCGGUUGGGGAGCUUUUUGUGGCGUCGCAUAUUCCCUGGUUCUCUUUCUCCCCGGCUUUGGGCCAUUCACGAAGGGAGACAUGUCAUUUGGAGGAAGAGGUGGUGGCAAUCGUGGCGGAGGUUUCAACCGUGGAGGAGGUGGAUUCAACCGUGGAGGAGGUGGAUUCAAUCGGGGCGGUGGAGGAUUCAAUAGAGGAGGACGUGGUGGUGGAAGAGGUGGAUUUGGCCGUGGAGGAGGACGAGGAGGCUUCAACAGAGGAGGAUAUGAUCAAGGACCGCCUGAAAGCGUAGUCAUCCUUGGAGAAUUUCUGCACCCUUGUGAAGAUGACAUUGUUUGCAAAUGUGUCACUCAGGAAAACAAAGUACCUUAUUUUAAUGCCCCAGUCUAUUUAGAAAAUAAAGAGCAGAUUGGGAAAGUGGAUGAAAUAUUUGGGCAGCUCAGAGACUUUUAUUUUUCAGUCAAACUGUCAGAAAAUAUGAAGGCUUCUUCCUUCAAAAAGCUGCAGAAGUUUUACAUUGAUCCUGCAAAACUGCUACCUCUGCAAAGGUUUUUGCCAAGACCUCCAGGAGAGAAAGGAGCUCCAAGAGGUGGUAGAGGAGGUGGUCGUGGAGGAAGAGGAGGUGGCAGAGGAGGAGGUGGUUUCAGAGGCGGCAGAGGUGGUGGAGGCUUCAGAGGAGGACGAGGUGGAGGUGGUGGUCGAGGAUUUAGAGGCAGAGGACGUUAAGUGAAACUCUGGGAAACACCACGUUUAAGGUUUCAUGACAAAACACAAUGAAAGGAUUUCUAAUGAAAUUGAAUGCUGCACAGUGGACAACUUAAUUGUGCUGUUGUCCAAAGGACUGAAUUGCUAUCGCCUGUGUUGGUCAUGAAUUUCUGCUAAGCUGGGACAAUUUAAGAAGACUGCAGAUACUUGGUCUUUAGCAGACAUUAUACAAAAUGAAUGGAGGGGUGCUUGUGGACUUCUGUAAGCACACACUUUGCCCGCAUAGGGUCCCAGCUUCUGGCUUCAGCAUCUCCACUUAAAAGGAUCAAACUCUGCAGAAGUACUGCUGGUGGAGUAAACAAGGUUAAGAUUGAUGGACAAGUCAGCUGAGCUAGAGUGGAAGGCAGCUUUCUGGUUUUCUAAAUGGAUGUGGUGGUCCUUUUUAGAGAGGGCAGCCUUCUGUUGGAAGGACUGCCUGAGAACUGUUCUUUGCUUUGGAGGUUUCCCUUGUAUGAAGGGCUUUAUCAGGCCAAGCCUAAUGUAAAAUUCAAGAACCAUCAGAAGGAAGAGCUGGACCUUAAGCUUCUCCAUCAACAGCACCUGAACUGCAGAGUGAGCAAAGGUACACAGGUCACCUGAUCACUGUCUUCCGCAUUUGUUCACAAGUGGACAACCCAAGAUGUGAUUUGAAAUUGCGGCUUCACAACAAAAAUCCUCAGAAUUUUUUUUUUUUACUUGAAUAGAGAGAAACCUCAUUUUGCUUGUCAUUGUGAAGCAUUUUGCUUUUGAAUAUUAAAACAAGACUUUUGCUUCUGCAUCUUGGGACUUACUCUGUGCAUCUUGUUGAUUGCUUUUUAUUUGUUCAGAAUUCUCAAGCAACACUUGACCAUUUUUUCUGCAAAGACAAAGAAAAGAACUAAGAAAAGAAGUUUGAAUUAUAAAGUGUGACCAAGGAGACUGUUAAUCUCUCUAGUCAUGAGGCCAGGAAACAUAAGCAUCUUGUUGAAAAUACACACACAGCUCUGUGCUGUUCUUUGUUGAACUAACAAGCCGUCCUCUUCCAAAGGCUGGGAAUGUAAACCCCUUUGCUCUUUAAUUGAAAUCCUGUUGGGACCCUUUCAGUACAGAAAUUUUACAGGUCACGAAUUUGCAUGAAAAGGCUUGCUGUAUUUUAUUUUUAUUGGUGAAUGGCUUUUUGCAGGAAAGCUCUGGAGGGUAUUUCUCAAUUCCCCCCACUGCAAUGUUUCUGAAUGAUUCUUCAAAUUCUUCAGAAAGUGAGAAUGAACCUCAUCCGGCCUUUUCGCAGACUGAACACAACAUAGUUGCAGCUUAUUUGAUAACAGCAGGUAUGAAUGUGGAUUGAAAAAUAAAACAGGAUUUAGGAUGUGAAUGGGGGCAGUGAGUAAUGCACAGAAAGAGUGGUCAAAAUGGAUGCUCCUUCGGUUUUAUCUAAAUGUAGGUAAAUUAGAAAAAUCAAGUGUGAAAUUGUGAAAAUGUAAUCUAAAGCUGUAGUCUUGCGCAAGUGAUGCACUGUAGUGCUGCCACAAUUCUGUACACACUUACUUGUAAGUCCCAUUGAGUUCAGUAGGAUUUUCUUUUGAGUAAACAUGCAUUGGAUUGCACUCUUAGGCCCAAUCCUCAUCUAUGAACAAUCCCUAUUGAACAUAGUAGGACUUACAAGCUUACAUGUAUAGGUUUUACUCUUAGAGAUGUUAACUUCAAAGGAAAGAUAUCCUGGAUGAAAGACUCGAAUUAAUAUUUAUUCAUGCUUUAUUCUUCUGAGAGCCCUUUCCCCAAAAAUGUAACUUCCAGGGAUAAACAGAAUGAGUACUGGCUCUCUGUCCUAUGUCUGUUCUGGUCUUCCUAUCAAGUGUCUUUUUACUAACUCUGAAUAAAAAUACUGUGAUAACUUG
This is an RNA transcript of Varanus komodoensis (Komodo dragon), 2654 nucleotides long. It is a transcript of the gene named GAR1 ribonucleoprotein, with no coding region annotated. NCBI's taxonomy places the organism in Eukaryota, Metazoa, Chordata, Lepidosauria, Squamata, Varanidae. The transcript is spliced from 9 exons. The record is from RefSeq and is a predicted model, not a curated record.